Long non-coding RNA from Esox lucius (northern pike), 408 nucleotides. RefSeq lists it as uncharacterized. The record is from RefSeq and is a predicted model, not a curated record. The transcript is spliced from 3 exons. Lineage: Eukaryota; Metazoa; Chordata; Actinopteri; Esociformes; Esocidae.
AGGAUCUUAUAGAUCUCAUCAUACAAAUCCAACAUCUAAACCUAUGUAGAGAAGAGGAGAUGGACUGGAUGAAUGAAGAACUGGGUGUGGCCAGCUCCCAGAUAGAGAAGAACAGUGAGGAAAUGGAUUGGAUCUGAAUUUCUGCAACUGGAGAGAAAGCCAUGAAGAUGAAGAAUAAGCCUAAAGAGGUGUCAACCGGAAGGACUGCAAUUAAAACAGCAUUAAUGCAAGGACAUUGGUGCACAUUGCAGAUGCAUUGUGCACCACCUGUUAAGGCCAGAAGAGGACUGGCCACCUCUUGGAGCCUGGUUCCUCACUAGGUUUCUUCCUAGGUUCCUGGUUAGUUGGGAGUUUUUCCUAGCCACAGCUUUUGCAUCAUUAUUGCAUGCUCUUUGGGGUUUUAGAAUG